Molecule: ribosomal RNA, 429 nt
Filed under: uncultured bacterium
Lineage: Bacteria
Description: bacterial SSU rRNA
Rfam family: Bacterial small subunit ribosomal RNA
Source: RNAcentral
AUUGAACGCUGGCGGCAUGCCUUACACAUGCAAGUCGAACGGCAGCACGGGAGCAAUCCUGGUGGCGAGUGGCGAACGGGUGAGUAAUAUAUCGGAACGUGCCCAGUCGUGGGGAUAACGUAGCGAAAGCUACGCUAAUACCGCAUACGAUCUAUGGAUGAAAGCGGGGGAUCGCAAGACCUCGCGCGAUUGGAGCGGCCGAUAUCAGAUUAGGUAGUUGGUGAGGUAAAGGCUCACCAAGCCGACGAUCUGUAGCUGGUCUGAGAGGACGACCAGCCACACUGGGACUGAGACACGGCCCAGACUCCUACGGGAGGCAGCAGUGGGGAAUUUUGGACAAUGGGCGCAAGCCUGAUCCAGCAAUGCCGCGUGCAGGAUGAAGGCCUCGGUUGUAACUAGCUUUUGUUACGGUAACGGAAACGGUACGGA